Non-coding RNA from Oryza sativa Japonica Group (Japanese rice), 706 nucleotides. The record is from RefSeq and is a predicted model, not a curated record. Lineage: Eukaryota; Viridiplantae; Streptophyta; Magnoliopsida; Poales; Poaceae.
UUUUGUAAAGUUAUUGUAAAAUUUAAAAUUAUGAUGUCAUUUCAAUGCUAACCGCGCAAUUUGAUUGCGCGAAACAUCAUGCUAGUUGAGUAUUGAAAGCCGAAAGGCCCAACCAGAAAACAUUUCCCACAGGCGUCUGUCUCCUCCUCCUCCUCGUCGUCUCCACGGCGACAGCGCCGCCGCUUCUCGGUCGCCGGCGCACCCGCCGUCUCUUCGGCCGGCGGGGGCUCUCGAGGAAGGCUUCCGCGCCGCCAUCAGUACCCCGAAUCGGGCGUGGGAAUAGCUUUUGCUGAAUUACACUGGCGACUGAUCAUAGGACCACAUAGCUUUGGAUUACCAUCAAAGCUUGAAUUAUCAAAUGUAUCGAACUGGCCUCCAGUUGGAAUAGGUCCUUCCAGGUCAUUGUUGGAAACAUUGAAUGCAGAAAGGAAGUGUAGCUUGCUCAGUUGUAAAGGGAUUGUACCUGUUAGAUUGUUGUUAGACAAGUCUAGCAUCUCCAGGUCGGUGAGCUUGCAAAUUGCUUGUGGGAUUUCCCCAGAGAAACUAUUGUAGCUCAAAUCAAGCAUAUCGAGUGCCUUCAGCUGACCAAUCUCUGGAGGGAUCACACCUGUAAAGCCAUUUCUGCCUAUAUUUAGCGUUGCUGGUCCCAUCAGUAAUUGAUGCCUUGAACCGCUGCAAACAAUUAUUUUAGAGACCCUUUCAUUUA